This 315-nucleotide ribosomal RNA is filed under the name uncultured eukaryote. Its description in RNAcentral is "partial 18S ribosomal RNA". It matches the Rfam family "Eukaryotic small subunit ribosomal RNA", at positions 1470 to 1796 of the family's 1831-position model. The record is from RNAcentral.
CCCUUAGACGUUCUGGGCCGCACGCGCUCUACACUGACCAGUGCAACAAGCAUCCGUCCUUGGCCGACAGGCCCGGGCAAUCUUUGAACGCUGGUCGUGAUGGGGAUAGACUUUUGCAAUUUUUGGUCUUCAACGAGGAAUUCCUAGUAAACGCAAGUCAUCAACUUGCAUUGAUUACGUCCCUGCCCUUUGUACACACCGCCCGUCGCACCUACCGAUUGAAUGGUCCGGUGAAGCCUCCGGAUUGGCGCGCACCUCGGUGCCGCCGAGAAGUUGGCUAAACCUUACCAUUUAGAGGAAGGUGAAGUCGUAACA